Molecule: long non-coding RNA, 910 nt
Organism: Alexandromys fortis (reed vole)
Lineage: Eukaryota; Metazoa; Chordata; Mammalia; Rodentia; Cricetidae
Exons: 3
Source: RefSeq, a predicted model, not a curated record
CUGAGAACUCAACCCCAAAGGUCCCCCGUAAAUUAACCCUACCUUUAGGAACUAUCAUUACUAAGUCCUCACAGGACAAGAAGUUGAAAGAAUGGAAGAGCUGGAGAAUAAAGAGGAAAGAUAUGAAAUGUUAUCUUCUGGACACGAAUUGGUUUAUGGCCCACAUGGGCUUACAACAGCUAUGGCUGCUUUGACAAGAUGAAGCCAGUGAAACUCCAAGCACAGACAGGAACCUUCAUCUGGUGAUGGAUGGAGAUAGAGACAGAGACCCACACUGGAGCACUGGACUGAGCUCCCAAGGUCCCAAUGAGGAGCAGAUGGAGGGAGAACACGAGCAAGGAUGUCAGGACCACGGGGGGUGCACCCACCCACUGAGACAGUGGGGCUGAUCUAUUGGGAGCUCACCAAGGCCAGCUGGACUGUGACUGAAAAAGCAUGGGAUAAAACCGGACUCUCUGAUCAUGGCGAACAAUGAGGACUGAUGAGAAGCCAAGAACCUUCAUCUGGAGAUGGAUGGAGAUAGAGACAGAGACCCACACUGGAGCACCGGACUGAGCUCCCAAUGUCCCAAGGAGGAGCAGAAGGAGGGAAAAUAUGAGCAAAGAAGUCAGGACCACGAGGGGUGCACCCACCCACGGAGACAGUGGGGCUGAUCUAUUGUGAGCUCACCAAGGCCAGCUGGACUGCGACUGAAAAAGCAUGGGAUAAAACCGGACUCUCUGAAUAUGGCGGACAAUAAGAGCUGCUGAGAAGCCAAGGACAAUGCCACUGGGUUUUGAUCCUACUUCAUGUUCUGGCUUUGUGGGAGCCUAGCCAGUUUGGAUGUUCACCUUCCUAGACCAGGAUGGAGCGGGGAGGACUUUGGACUUUCCACAGGGCAGGGAACCCUGACUGCCCCUCAGACUGGAGA